ACUAAACAUGGUCUUAUGGUCUCGUUGCCGAGAAGUUCUCUUGAUAAUUUCUGCUACCUACCUACCUACUUUGUUAGAAUUUGAAGCUUACAAGUUCAUCGAGUAGUGCGAGAGCGUCGACAUUCUACUGUAAAAACUUCCAGAGCCAUUGUGUUUUGGAUAGAGCCGAUAUGAUAAAAAGGAUGUGGAUAAUGUUCGUUGAUAAAUUGCAAUGUGUUAAUGCUGAUCGACUUUGUCAUACUAACUCAUAAUCAUACUAAGAGAUGCAAGCAACAAUAACAAGUUUCCUGAAGAAUGUUCCAGUCGGACAGUUGGAAACAAUUAUGUCUGUAUAAGUUGUGGAAUAUCUUUGGAAAGGCACUCACGAAGGUAAAAUCACAGGCCAUGGGCUUAUGGAAAGAAGUGAAGAGUGGUAUUAUAUAGAAAAACAAUCUCCGAGAUAGAUGCCUGAUGGAUGCCCAUGUAUGUGUUGUUUGCAGGAUGAGCUCACCUCAAAAGCAUUAAUAUCUAGUGAACAUAAAAGCUGUGUUAAGUGUGUUGUUGCAAUGUAUAUAAUUCUAUUUAUUAACCCCCGACGCAAACAACGGGUUGUUAUAAGUUUGACGAGUCUGUAUGUGUGUAAAUGUGUAUGUGUCUGUCUGUGGCAUCGUAGCUCCCAAACAGAUGAUGCAAUUUUAAUCUUAUCUUAUUUAGCCUAUACGAUCCCACUGCUGGGCAAUUUUAAUACAGUUUUUUUUGUUUGUAAGUUAUAUUAGUCGAGUAUUCUUAGCUAUGUUUGGUAGAAAUCGGUUCAGGUCUUCAAGGUCAUCAGGAUGUUUGUUAAGUGUGAUAGGAAUGUUACACGUUCAGUUUGCUUGCAAGUAUAGGUAUGUGGGAUAAGUUAUUUUUUACUUUAUAGGGUUUUGAAUUUUUUCACCUUUUUUCAUAAUAAUUGAGUACUUUUGUUUUUGUCGGGGGUUUUCUUUUUGUUCAUAGAUGUUGGUAAACUAUGAGUUUAUAUCACUUUAUAAUUAUAAUUUAUAUUAUUAAAUCAUUAAAUAGAUAAAAACCUGUGUA
RNAcentral lists this long non-coding RNA (1056 nucleotides) under Pectinophora gossypiella (pink bollworm). RNAcentral describes it as "uncharacterized LOC126369196". The record is from RNAcentral. Lineage: Eukaryota; Metazoa; Arthropoda; Insecta; Lepidoptera; Gelechiidae.